This 439-nucleotide ribosomal RNA is filed under the name uncultured bacterium. Its description in RNAcentral is "bacterial SSU rRNA". It matches the Rfam family "Bacterial small subunit ribosomal RNA", at positions 342 to 796 of the family's 1533-position model. The record is from RNAcentral.
CUGGAGGCAGCAGUGGGGAAUCUUCGGCAAUGGGGGCAACCCUGACCGAGCGACGCCGCGUGCGGGACGAAGGCUUUCGGGUCGUAAACCGCUUUUCUCUGGGACGAGAGACGGACGGUACCAGAGGAAGAAGCCUCGGCUAACUACGUGCCAGCAGCCGCGGUAAUACGUAGGAGGCGAGCGUUGUCCGGAGUUACUGGGCGUAAAGGGUGCGCAGGCGGCUCGGCGCGUGUGCGAUGAAAUCUCCCCGCUCAACGGGGAGGGGGUCGUGCAAACGGCCGGGCUUGAGGCUCGCAGAGGGGCGUGGAAUUCCGGGUGGAGCGGUGAAAUGCGUAGAGAUCCGGAGGAACACCGACGGCGUAAGCAGCGCCCUGGACGAGAUCUGACGCUCAGGCACGAAAGCUGGGGGAGCAAACAGGAUUAGAUACCCCAGUAGUCC